GAUAACCACCCCAUGGUAGUCAACUGUUUGAAAAGUUACUUCAGCCCUUUGAUGUCAGCUCUUUCUGUCACCACAAAACACAAUUCAUCAAGUGUUGGUUGGUUUACCCACUAACAAUGAACACAAGCUAGUUUAGACUGCCAUGAGACAAGUU
This 154-nucleotide non-coding RNA is filed under the name Tyto alba (common barn owl). RNAcentral describes it as "Eukaryotic large subunit ribosomal RNA". It matches the Rfam family "Eukaryotic large subunit ribosomal RNA", at positions 2825 to 2984 of the family's 3401-position model. Lineage: Eukaryota; Metazoa; Chordata; Aves; Strigiformes; Tytonidae. The record is from Rfam by way of RNAcentral.